ACGCGUAUAGAACCUACCUUUUACAGAGGGAUAGCCUUUAGAAAUGAAGAUUAAUACCUUAUGGUAUUGUAGACUGGCAUCAGUUUAUAAUUAAAGAUUUAUCGGUAAAAGAUGGCUAUGCGUCCUAUUAGCUAGAUGGUAAGGUAACGGCUUACCAUGGCAACGAUAGGUAGGGGCCCUGAGAGGGGGAUCCCCCACACUGGUACUGAGACACGGACCAGACUCCUACGGGAGGCAGCAGUGAGGAAUAUUGGGCAAUGGAGGCAACUCUGACCCAGCCAUGCCGCGUGCAGGAAGACUGCCCUAUGGGUUGUAAACUGCUUUUAUACAGGAAGAAACACACCUACGUGUAGGUGCUUGA
Molecule: ribosomal RNA, 361 nt
Filed under: uncultured Flavobacteriaceae bacterium
Lineage: Bacteria; Pseudomonadati; Bacteroidota; Flavobacteriia; Flavobacteriales; Flavobacteriaceae
Description: bacterial SSU rRNA
Rfam family: Bacterial small subunit ribosomal RNA
Source: RNAcentral